This 253-nucleotide ribosomal RNA is filed under the name uncultured bacterium. Its description in RNAcentral is "partial 16S ribosomal RNA". It matches the Rfam family "Bacterial small subunit ribosomal RNA", at positions 524 to 776 of the family's 1533-position model. The record is from RNAcentral.
UACGGAGGGUGCAAGCGUUAUCCGGAUUUACUGGGUUUAAAGGGUGCGUAGGUGGUUUGGGAAGUCAGUGGUGAAAUACUUUCGCUUAACGAAGGAACUGCCAUUGAUACUAUCAAUCUUGAAUGUAGUGGAGGUAGGCGGAAUGCGUCAUGUAGCGGUGAAAUGCUUAGAUAUGACGCAGAACACCAAUUGCGAAGGCAGCUUGCUACACUACUAUUGACACUGAGGCACGAAAGCGUGGGGAUCAAACAGG